UUCUCUUACUUUUUUAAUGCAAUUUUUUGUUACUGACAAUGCCAAUAAAUAGAUACUAAAUCAGCCCAAAAAGAAAGUAUCGAAGAAUUCAAGAUUUUUCUAAAUUAAAAACUUGAAUCAUACAUGUCAUGAAGCAUAGGCGAGUGGACAAGGGGAAGGUGUGGUUAUCAAAAUGCAGCUUCUCCUUUGGAAGAGUAGGGAUAGGGACAGGUCUGAUGGCGGUGCUAAAGAAGUUUGUUUGUUCAACAAUUACCUUAACACCAAAUUGAUCUUCGGUCUGGGUUGCAAUUGAAAUGCUGAAGCUCUGAGGCUUAUAAGCGAAUCCUUGGUAUCUUCCUCAUAAUCUUUGUCCUUGUAUAAGUGUUGCAGGUCGUUCAUGACAUACAGGCAAUUCAGAAUUUGUCGCUACUUGCUAACCAUUUAGUUUAGCACUACCCUUCUGCUUCUGCCACAACAUAAAAGGAUGGCAGCUCGGGUCAAUGCUACAACAAUUGCUGGAAAUGUUGAUGCACAAUAUUGAAGAUCUUGUUCACCAGCUAGUGAUUGAUACAGGAAUUAUUCAUGUUCUUGUGAAAAUUGUGAAGAAAAAGUGAGUAUUUAUCCACACUGACUAUUGUUCUUUAGCAAAGUGAGUAUUUAUUCCUAUUCUUGUGAAUGCAUGGAACUGGCUUAGUCCAGCUUGAAAAGAACUUUAAAUAAGUAAUGUCAACAAACUUGUAUGUUAGAAAGUACAAAAGAUUUGAAAUUUUUAAAUUCA
Glycine soja is the source of this 757-nucleotide long non-coding RNA. RefSeq lists it as uncharacterized. Lineage: Eukaryota; Viridiplantae; Streptophyta; Magnoliopsida; Fabales; Fabaceae. The record is from RefSeq and is a predicted model, not a curated record. The transcript is spliced from 4 exons.